This is a long non-coding RNA of Mus caroli (Ryukyu mouse), 523 nucleotides long. RefSeq lists it as uncharacterized. The record is from RefSeq and is a predicted model, not a curated record. Lineage: Eukaryota; Metazoa; Chordata; Mammalia; Rodentia; Muridae.
UGAUAAUGGACUGAAGCUCUGAACCUAAAAUGUCCCAUCAUUCUAUUCAUCCAAAUCUGUCACAGGGGUUCUUUAAUGGCUGUCAUUUUGCUGUGUGUCCUGAUGUCUGUGGAAGAAGCGAGAAUGAACUGGAAUGGAUCUCAUGAGGAUAGCAAAAGGAGAGUUGGCAGAAUCAGCCACUGGACACAUGCCAGGGGCCUUCGACUUAGGGAGAAGCAUGAAGGUCCUGUCAGAAUGUGACGUCUCCCCUGAUCCAAAAGACAGCUCUAGAAGGCUAGACCACCCACUCAGCACUCUGGAGAUGCCCGCAUCAACGUCCUCAGGAAAGCCACAUGCUAUACUUUAUGGGACAUAAACAGGACCAUACGCCACUCUCAGCCCAGCUGAGCAGGGGACUGAGAGAACAGAAUAGGACUUCUGACUUGCUGCACAUGCAAAUAACGUGUCUGACAUGGCCUCCUGCUCUCUGGGUAGUGAGAAAGAGAAGCCAGACCAUGCCCAAUCAGCAGCAGACACUACCAGA